UGGUCACCUACUACGUUCCAGGCCUGGGCAGCAGACCGGCCGAGAUUCUUUCCUUGCCUCGGUCUCCUGGCCAACCCGAAGCAGAUGGGCCCAGGCCAGGGUCAGUCCAUCCGCUCUGCAGAACCAGGCUCCUUGGAAUGUCCUUGGCUGACGCCCUCCUCCCCAUGGAGAAGACACCCGAGCAACUGACCUUUGGAGGCCCCUCUGCCAGGGUGGACCAACCUCAGGAUCUCCGCCUGCACGUUCCCUCCUCGCGGGGGAAGAGCUCCGGCCCUGGGCAGCACGUCUGCCUUCUAGCUCCUCCUGUCUCGCCUGACGAUGACACCUCACCCCACGGUCAGGUGGGCCGACAGUGGGCAGGGGGCGGGCAAGC
Molecule: long non-coding RNA, 373 nt
Filed under: Mustela putorius furo (domestic ferret)
Lineage: Eukaryota; Metazoa; Chordata; Mammalia; Carnivora; Mustelidae
Description: lncRNA (ENSMPUG00000030190.1)
Source: RNAcentral